GUCAAUAGUAGUGUAAGGGUAUGUCGGUCACAGUGCCUAUGUCAUUCCCCUCGCUUCAUCUCAUCACGUAGGCAUUUUUAUCAUUUCACAUCAUCACAAGAAGGGGGACCAGGUGGCAGUCAUAACACAGUGACACUGCCUGCAUAUUUACACUCUUUAAAAGUACCAACAUCAAAAUUCAAAAGUGACAGCAACUUGGAAGAGAAUCACAAUCAAUAGAUCAGUCUUUUGAGGAAUGCUGCAUCACCAGUGAUCUCCAUGGCAUAAAGAACACUAUUGCAUGGAAAAAUACAACUACUAACAACCUGAAUUAAAGUAAUUCAAAAGAACUUGAAAUUUUAGGAAUACUUUAUCCAAUGUCACUUACAUUUUGUUGGUUAUGUAUGCAAAUGAGUGAUAUAUGAUCAUGUACGAUGCAUGAUCAGUAUGAUUAAAAAUAUUAUGUCAAAUAAAUAUA
Long non-coding RNA from Herpailurus yagouaroundi (jaguarundi), 457 nucleotides. RefSeq lists it as uncharacterized. The transcript is spliced from 2 exons. NCBI's taxonomy places the organism in Eukaryota, Metazoa, Chordata, Mammalia, Carnivora, Felidae. The record is from RefSeq and is a predicted model, not a curated record.